RNAcentral lists this ribosomal RNA (274 nucleotides) under uncultured bacterium. Its description in RNAcentral is "partial 16S ribosomal RNA". It matches the Rfam family "Bacterial small subunit ribosomal RNA", at positions 523 to 796 of the family's 1533-position model. The record is from RNAcentral.
AUACAGAGGGUGCGAGCGUUAAUCGGAAUUACUGGGCGUAAAGCGCGCGUAGGCGGCUACUUAAGUCAGAUGUGAAAUCCCCGGGCUCAACCUGGGAACUGCAUCUGAUACUGGGUAGCUAGAGUUUAGGAGAGGGAAGUAGAUUUUCAGGUGUAGCGGUGAAAUGCAUAGAGAUCUGAAGGAAUACCAGUGGCGAAGGCGGCUUCCUGGCCUAAAACUGACGCUGAGGUGCGAAAGCGUGGGUAGCAAACGGGAUUAGAAACCCGAGUAGUCC